RNAcentral lists this ribosomal RNA (305 nucleotides) under uncultured bacterium. RNAcentral describes it as "bacterial SSU rRNA". It matches the Rfam family "Bacterial small subunit ribosomal RNA", at positions 338 to 660 of the family's 1533-position model. The record is from RNAcentral.
CCUACGGGAGGCAGCAGUGGGGAAUAUUGCACAAUGGGGGAAACCCUGAUGCAGCGACGCCGCGUGAGUGAAGAAGGAUUUCGGUAUGUAAAGCUCUAUCAGCAGGGAAGAUAAUGACGGUACCUGACUAAGAAGCCCCGGCUAACUACGAGCAAGCAGCAGCGGUAAUACGUAGGGGGCAAGCGUUAUCCGGAUUUACUGGGUGUAAAGGGAGCGUAGGUGGCAGGGCAAGUGAGAUGUGAAAACCCGGGGCUCAACUCCGGGAGUGCAUUUGAAACUGUCAAGCUAGGGUGCAGGAGGGGUAA